Molecule: small nucleolar RNA, 73 nt
Organism: Dipodomys ordii (Ord's kangaroo rat)
Lineage: Eukaryota; Metazoa; Chordata; Mammalia; Rodentia; Heteromyidae
Source: Ensembl
UGUGUUGAUGAUACUAGUAAUAGGAAGUGCCGUCAGAUGCGAGAACUGACGACUUUCACGCUUAUAUCUGAAU